This is a long non-coding RNA of Nycticebus coucang (slow loris), 333 nucleotides long. RefSeq lists it as uncharacterized. The transcript has 2 exons. NCBI's taxonomy places the organism in Eukaryota, Metazoa, Chordata, Mammalia, Primates, Lorisidae. The record is from RefSeq and is a predicted model, not a curated record.
GUCCCGUUCCUGGGGGCCAGGACUGGGCUCAGCACAUCUACGCCAUGCGCCCACAUCCAGCACCCCAGCCCCAGGCCGUCCCAGCAGGCGAGGGUAGCGGGAGAGCGUCAUGCACCUGUGUCCGGCACCCCAGCCCCAGACCGCCCCGGCAGGCGAAGGCAGUGGGACAGCGCACCUUCUCCGUGUCCUCCUUCUUGACCUGCUUCAGGUUGGCACGCAGGUCCAUGCACACCUUGUGCUUGGAACCCAGCAGUGCCUUAAGCAUGGCGUCGGCCGACAUGCGCACGCGGCGCAGCGGGGGCCUCUUGAACUUGCCCCGCAGGUCGAACAGCU